This 441-nucleotide ribosomal RNA is filed under the name uncultured bacterium. RNAcentral describes it as "partial 16S ribosomal RNA". It matches the Rfam family "Bacterial small subunit ribosomal RNA", at positions 338 to 795 of the family's 1533-position model. The record is from RNAcentral.
CCUACGGGUGGCAGCAGUGGGGAAUAUUGCACAAUGGGGGAAACCCUGAUGCAGCGACGCCGCGUGAGUGAAGAAGUAUUUCGGUAUGUAAAGCUCUAUCAGCAGGGAAGAAGAAAGACGGUACCUGACUACGAAGCCCCGGCUAACUACGUGCCAGCAGCCGCGGUAAUACGUAGGGGGCAAGCGUUAUCCGGAUUUACUGGGUGUAAAGGGAGCGUAGACGGCUGUGCAAGUCUGAAGUGAAAGCCCAGGGCUCAACUCUGGGACUGCUUUGGAAACUGUUGAGCUAGAGUGCUGGAGAGGUAAGUGGAAUUCCUAGUGUAGCGGUGAAAUGCGUAGAUAUUAGGAGGAACACCGAUUGCGAAGGCAUCUCACGAAUCCGCGAUUGACGCUGAUGCACGAAAGCGUGGGUAUCAAACAGGAUUAGAUACCCGGGUAGUC